UUGAACGCUGGCGGCAUGCCUUACACAUGCAAGUCGAACGGUAACAGGGAGCUUGCUCCGCUGACGAGUGGCGAACGGGUGAGUAAUAUAUCGGAACGUACCUUUGAGUGGGGGAUAACUNGUCGAAAGACUAGCUAAUACCGCAUACGAUCUACGGAUGAAAGUGGGGGAUCGCAAGACCUCAUGCUCAUAGAGCGGCCGAUAUCUGAUUAGCUAGUUGGUGAGGUAAAGGCUCACCAAGGCAUCGAUCAGUAGCUG
This 258-nucleotide ribosomal RNA is filed under the name Collimonas sp. ISO615_OTU1303. Its description in RNAcentral is "partial 16S ribosomal RNA". It matches the Rfam family "Bacterial small subunit ribosomal RNA", at positions 30 to 289 of the family's 1533-position model. Lineage: Bacteria; Pseudomonadati; Pseudomonadota; Betaproteobacteria; Burkholderiales; Oxalobacteraceae. The record is from RNAcentral.